AGACGCUGCCACCCGCGGCGGCGGUACACCUCGGGUCGGCCGUUUUGGCCGAAUUUAACCAAUUUUGUAUCGAUUCCUGCGAGCAAACAUGUUAAAGGGCCUUGAUUAGCCGAAAAAAUACAAAAAAUCGAGACUUACCGGCGGCAAGGCUCUCCGGUGCGGCGGCUUCUCUAGCUCACAUUGUGGUUGGGUGUUCACUUUGGUCAACCUAUAAAGAAGAAAACAGUGAUCACAAUGAUAAAAAAAUUACGCGAAACAAGAAUCGAGAAGGGCAUCAUCGAAGGCGGUUUGUGAAAUUCUCUGCGGUGGUGCCGCCGGGCUUCGUCGGUAUUUUUUGGCCAACUGGUCAGUCUUUUCAUUCUGAUUUGGCCAUGGGUGAGCUUAAAAUUGAAUUUCGUGCAAAAGAGAAAGUUUUUACCUUUUUUGGCAAUCGAAAAAGGUUUCGGUGCAGCGACAGGUGGCGGCGGUCGGCUCCCCGGCGACUGGGUCAUCUUCUCCGAUGAGGGAUUCUGGCGGUUAGGGUUAGGGUUUGGUGUGGAUGGGGGUUAUUUAUACCCAUCCGCUUUUGAUUUGUGCAGUCCAUCGCGUUUGAUGUAGAUCGUCUGAUCGCGAUUAAAUGGGGAGUGAAUUUGGACUGUUCAUCGCAAUCAAUUCUGGGUUGUCUAUUGCGAUUCACUCUGAACCGUCCGUUCGCUUUUAAAUCUGGUCGUUCGAUUUUGUUCGGGAGGGAGCGCAUCCAGGCCAUUCGUGCGCAUGGAAACGAACCUCAGCCGUUCGAUUGCGCGCACGCGGAUCGCCCGCGUAGCCCCCCUUACGUGGCCUCCCGCGUCAGCGCCUCUGCCACUUGGCGCGUCCUGGUUGGUCAGGGCUGCUGACUCAACGUCUGAUGUGGUAAAAUUUCCCAAAAGUGCGUU
This 914-nucleotide long non-coding RNA is filed under the name Carica papaya (papaya). Its description in RNAcentral is "long non-coding RNA (CPAP_LNC006517)". Lineage: Eukaryota; Viridiplantae; Streptophyta; Magnoliopsida; Brassicales; Caricaceae. The record is from RNAcentral.